Crotalus tigris (Tiger rattlesnake) is the source of this 2009-nucleotide long non-coding RNA. RefSeq lists it as uncharacterized. The transcript is spliced from 7 exons. NCBI's taxonomy places the organism in Eukaryota, Metazoa, Chordata, Lepidosauria, Squamata, Viperidae. The record is from RefSeq and is a predicted model, not a curated record.
GAAAUUCCCCCACUCGCCAUCUAUUUCUGCCCUGCUGAAGGCAACAUGAGGAAACCAUCUGGUUCGCGAGGCUGCCAAAAAGAAAAAAGAAAAAGAAAAAAAAGGAACGAGGCUCAGGAUAAAAUAACUGUUUGGGUUGCUUUUUUUUCUCUCUCUCUCCACAAUUCCUGCCCCCUCCUCUUGUUCCAGAACGAAUACCCUCCCCAAGGGAAAACGCUGUUUCAGCUCCCCCAGACCACUGGCAGCCAAGGGGCUGCCUAGAACAGGAGCUCGCUGAGAAACGGCCGAGGCUGCAAAGCCGCCCCUUCAGCUUGUCCGGGUUGUGCGGUUGCUCCCGGCGAUGGGGAAGAGGGGAAGGCAGCGAAUCUGCGUCGCCCUUCCUGCUCUCCGGUCUGGCUCCGAGAAACUAAGACUGAGAAGCGGGGAGUGGGAUGCAAAACAGAGGGUUGACGCUCCGGCCAAAGUGAUUUCCGGCUUCGGCUGAACGAACUCCAGAGGUUUUCCAGCCCCCGCCAUAUUUGGUGAAAGCUUAGAGGACCUCGUCAUCGGCACUCUACUAAGACGGUGGCGUAGAGGAAUGGAGCUGCGCCAGAAGAGCUCAGAAGGGCCUUGGAUUACAUACCGAAGAUACAUGUCACUUGAGAAUCUCUAAGAACAUGUUUAAUCUCUCCCCGGAGUGUUAGGAAUAUUGCUUCCUCUCCUGACGGAAAAGAGUGCUUCUAGGCAGCAUUUCCUGCCUCGAAGGGCUCUAACGAGUCCUUUCUAGAGAGUAUUUCAGGGCUCAUUUUGUGAAUACAAGCCAAGGACUGAGAACUAGAUGGAAGCUUUGCGAGAGAAACGAGAUGGAUAUUUGGCAGCACCGACUGGUUUAUUUAUUUGUUAAACUUAACACCCUCUCUUUCCUUCAGGAGCUCAGAACAAUUUGCACGGUGCUCUCUCUCCUCCAUUUUCCUCACAACAACAUUCUGGGUGCCAAGAUGGUGUAAAAGAAAAGUGACUGGGGAAAACCACCUAGCAAGGUUCCAUGGCUCUGGCUGUGCUUGAUCUGGCUUCAGGUCCCUUCUGUGAAGCUGUGCCAUUUGGUGAGGCCCACAAAAUGGGCCUUCCUUGUCAUGCAGUUGCUUGAUGGAACACCCUCUUCCUGUAGAUUCAGAUGGCCCUGAACUCAUCAGUCGUCUGGCAGGCUGUGAAGACCCAGCUUUUCGCCCCAGGUCCUUGGGCCAGGCUUUUAAUGGGACCCAGCAAGAUACAUGAAUAUCAUAAAUAAGAAAUACACUGAAUUACCAGUAGGGGAGGAAAAUGAAAGGGAAAAGAACCGAAACGGAGAAAAGCAGGAAUGUGAAAUCUCAGUAACUGGAAUUCGGCCAAAUUCAGUAUAGAAUACCAAAUUCAGGACCUUUUCCAGGAAAAUGAUACGCAUCCUCAGGAUUAACUGUUCGUAAGCAUUUUUAAAAGGAAUACGGCUACUUUUAAAAGCAACAAAAGGAGACAAACACAAAUAAGGACUUUGCUCUUUUUCCACCUGAUCUCCGUCUUGCUGAAGAGUUAAAAUUUCACACAGCUGCACAUCUCCGGGUCAGGAAGGCUGUCUGAAAACUGGAAUUUUGGAAUAAUGGCUAGAUCAGUCUGAUGAGCUGAGAAGUAAUAUAAUUUCAGGUCACAGGAGGACCUAAUAUCUGUUCUUAGAGUGAACUGGAAUAGAUUUUUCACAAGGAGCUCCCAAGACAAAAAAAAAAAAAAAGAUUUAAAACUACUGAGAGAUUACCACUAUCAAAACUGCAAUCAAUCUUAAAGCUGCCAGAGAACUAUAGCAAGGAAGUGAAUCUUUCCACAACCAUGCCUACCAAGGGAACAAUCUUUACCCUGAGUUACAGAUGAACCCUAUGUUCCCUGUCUUCCAGAAGAUUGUUGAAACUAACUCUUCCUUCAAGUAUUGGGCCAAGAUGGGAGAUCGUUGUUGAAGAUGUUGAAGAGCACUGGGCCCAGAACAGCCUUGGGGCACCCCACUA